Molecule: non-coding RNA, 45 nt
Organism: Schistosoma curassoni
Lineage: Eukaryota; Metazoa; Platyhelminthes; Trematoda; Strigeidida; Schistosomatidae
Source: Rfam
AUCCAGCUGACGAGUCUCAAAAAUGACGAAACGCGUGUCCUAGAU